Molecule: ribosomal RNA, 253 nt
Filed under: uncultured bacterium
Lineage: Bacteria
Description: partial 16S ribosomal RNA
Rfam family: Bacterial small subunit ribosomal RNA
Source: RNAcentral
UACGUAGGGUGCAAGCGUUAAUCGGAAUUACUGGGCGUAAAGCGUGCGCAGGCGGUUUUGUAAGUCUGUCGUGAAAUCCCCGGGCUUAACCUGGGAAUUGCGAUGGAGACUGCAAGGCUGGAGUUUGGCAGAGGGGGGUAGAAUUCCACGUGUAGCGGUGAAAUGCGUAGAUAUGCGGAGGAACACCGAUGGCGAAGGCAAUCCCCUGGGCCUGCACUGACGCUCAUGCACGAAAGCGUGGGGAGCAAACAGG